UGUGCACACAACUAGAGCCCUGCUUUGCUUGUCGUGCAUUGUGGGGUGUAGGAUGUGUGCUACAGUACAGCAGGGUCUCUGUUCUCUGCUCUCUGUCCUCAUGAGAACUGAGACGCUUCAGAUCCUGCUACAGUU
Molecule: small nucleolar RNA, 135 nt
Organism: Sinocyclocheilus grahami
Lineage: Eukaryota; Metazoa; Chordata; Actinopteri; Cypriniformes; Cyprinidae
Source: Ensembl